Arachis ipaensis is the source of this 1629-nucleotide non-coding RNA. Lineage: Eukaryota; Viridiplantae; Streptophyta; Magnoliopsida; Fabales; Fabaceae. The record is from RefSeq and is a predicted model, not a curated record.
UUUACGGUUAAUCACCUCAAUUUCAUUAGAUCAAAAUUCUAAAUAGAAGCUCAUUAAUAGGUAGAGUUAAAUUAGGUUGGGGGAGGGGAAAGCUUCGUUUAGACCAUUGAGAAGCAGACGGUGUUGCACAACGAAGGAGAGCGAGGGGUUGAAAGCCGCCGAAGCAGAGGCGUAGAUCGGGCCUUGGCCGCGAUGAGGUUCACCACAAGGGAGGCAAUGGAAGACAUGGGACAACCAGCGUCACAGGUGAAUGGCUUUGCAGAACAAAGCUAUGAGGUGUCCUCUAAUUUUCACCGAGUCCAUGCACUGCAAGUGUUGGGAAAGAUGGGAUGAAUGGUGACACCGUUCCUACGGAGGAAACAGAAGCAAUGAAGUUGUCAAAAGGAGCUGCAGUGAUAGAAGUAGAAAAAUCAGCGAUAAUUGUUAAUGGGAUUGGGUCGUUCGCUGCAAUUGAUUUUUCAUCCGUGACUGCAAAGGACAUCCUUAUGACUGAGUUUAUAAAUUUUCAAGCUGCUUAUGAUUUCUAUAACGAAUACGGUCGCAUAAAGAAAUUCUUGGUAAGGAGGUCGAAAGUGGAGCACAGAACAAAGCAUGGGACGGAUGGUGAAAUCAUUUAGCGGAUAUUCGUUUGCUCGAGGCAAGGAGAGUGAGAGGGGAAACACAUGCAGUGGUGAGGCAGGAAAGUGGUUCCUCGACCAAUCACAUGAUGCGAGUGUGAAGCUCGGAUAAAGGUGCAUGUUGAUGAUACUAGUGGGCGAUGGUAUGUUGAACAAUUUUGUGAUAACCACAAUUAUGUCAUGCUGGAUGCGAGGUUUAGGGGACUGAUGUGGUCACACAGAUCAGUAAAGGAAGGUGAUUUGCACCAAAUCAAUUCGAUAAGGAAAGAUGGGUUGCGAGUGCCAACGAUAUUCCACGCUUUUUCCAAUCAGUCAAGGGGUUGCGAGACGGUUUGGUUUGAAAUAAAGGAUAACUAUAAUGCAAUAGAGAAGCAAAGGCGGGCUAGUGCGAUAGAUGCUGAGACCACAUUGAAGUUUUUGUCUGGUUUAAGGAGUAAUGAUUAUGAAAUGUUUUGGAAGCACUCGCUGGAUGGUGAGAAGAGGCUUCAAAAUCUUUUUUGGCAUGACGGCACAAGUCAUUAUAACUGUAGUGUCUUUGGGGAUGUUUGGGGUUUGAUGCAACGUACAGUCUGAAUAAAUACAAAUACCCGUUGGUAAUAUUCUCAGGGGUGGACCAUCAUAUGAGGACUGUGGUGUUCGGUUGCACGAUUUUGAAUAAUAAAAGCAAAGAUGGCUGCAACUGAGGCUUUGAUUGAGUGGCUAUAUGCAUUGCCUUUUCAUAUGUUGCAUCUGGGUUCGAAUCUUGGCGAUAGCCAAGCCGUAGAUAGAACCCUUGUGUGUGUGUAGGUGUGGUGUGUGUGAGUGUGACCUAGGAUUGGGGGUUAUCCAAUCUAUCAGACAAAAAAAAGGCGAAGAUACCUACGUGUGGUUGUUGUGGUCAUUUCUUGAGGCAAUGAAAGGAAAAGCAUUGAAGUCCGUCAUGACGGAUGGGGAUCUUACAAUGAAGAGUGUGAUUAGUACAAUUUUUCCUGGUGCACAUCAUAGGUUGUGCAGCUAGCAUUUAUUAAGGAAU